AAUAUUAUUAUAGAUAGAGAUAAACUGUAAACAGCAAUAAUGUUCAGCAAAGAAAGAUCUACAAUUAAGUCAAACAUGACCAAAAUUUUCAAAUGACCCUUUAAGAAGUUAUAGCCCUUUAUAGUCAAUUUUUAACAAUUUUCAUAAAUUUUUGUAAAUUUUUGUAAAUUUUUAGAAAAUAUUUUCCACUGUAAUUACUGGGCCAAGUUUAUUAUAGAUAUAGAUAAUUGUAGCAACAAGAAUGUUCAGUAAACUAAGAUCUACAAACACAUCUCCAUCGUCAAAAC
This 287-nucleotide long non-coding RNA is filed under the name Mytilus galloprovincialis (Mediterranean mussel). Lineage: Eukaryota; Metazoa; Mollusca; Bivalvia; Mytilida; Mytilidae. The record is from RNAcentral.